RNAcentral lists this ribosomal RNA (436 nucleotides) under Cladosporium herbarum. Its description in RNAcentral is "eukaryotic LSU rRNA". The stretch from base 80 to 233 matches the Rfam family "5.8S ribosomal RNA". Lineage: Eukaryota; Fungi; Ascomycota; Dothideomycetes; Cladosporiales; Cladosporiaceae. The record is from RNAcentral.
CUUCGGGCGGGGGCUCCGGGUGGACACUUCAAACUCUUGCGUAACUUUGCAGUCUGAGUAAACUUAAUUAAUAAAUUAAAACUUUUAACAACGGAUCUCUUGGUUCUGGCAUCGAUGAAGAACGCAGCGAAAUGCGAUAAGUAAUGUGAAUUGCAGAAUUCAGUGAAUCAUCGAAUCUUUGAACGCACAUUGCGCCCCCUGGUAUUCCGGGGGGCAUGCCUGUUCGAGCGUCAUUUCACCACUCAAGCCUCGCUUGGUAUUGGGCAACGCGGUCCGCCGCGUGCCUCAAAUCGUCCGGCUGGGUCUUCUGUCCCCUAAGCGUUGUGGAAACUAUUCGCUAAAGGGUGUUCGGGAGGCUACGCCGUAAAACAACCCCAUUUCUAAGGUUGACCUCGGAUCAGGUAGGGAUACCCGCUGAACUUAAGCAUAUCAAUAA